This 449-nucleotide ribosomal RNA is filed under the name uncultured bacterium. Its description in RNAcentral is "partial 16S ribosomal RNA". It matches the Rfam family "Bacterial small subunit ribosomal RNA", at positions 29 to 523 of the family's 1533-position model. The record is from RNAcentral.
AGCGAACGCUGGCGGCAGGCCUAACACAUGCAAGUCGAAUGGAUCCUUCGGGAUUAGUGGCGGACGGGUGAGUAACACGCGGGACCGUGCCUAUAGGGUCGGAACAACUCAGGGAAACUUCAGCUAAUACCGGAUGUGCUCUUAGGGGGAGAGAUUUAUCGCCUUCAGAGCGGCCCGCGUCUGAUUAGAUAGUUGGUGAGGUAAAGGCUCAUCAAGGCGACGAUCAGUAGCUGGUCUGAGAGGAUGACCAGCUACAUUGGGACUGAGACACGGCCCAAACUCCUACGGGAGGCAGCAGUGGGGAAUCUUGCGCAAUGGGCGAAAGACUGACGCAGCCAUGCCGCGUGUAUGAUGAAGGUCUUAGGAUUGUAAAAUACUUUCACCGGUGAAGAUAAUGACUGUAGCCGGAGAAGAAGCCCCGGCUAACUUCGUGCCAGCAACCGCAGUAA